CAGUAGGAUAAGCUAAGCACACUGUUGGUUAUGUGUGCCCAAGCAUUGAGGCAGUCAAAGUAGGCAAAUCCGCUUUGAUAAUGCUGGGAUGUGAUGGGGAGCGAAAUUUAGUAGCGAAGUAGCUGAUUUCACACUGUCAAGAAAAGUCUCUAUCGAGGUUAAAGGUACCCGUACCGCAAACCGACACAGGUGGGUGAGGAGAGUAUCCUAAGGCCAGCGAGAGAACUGUUGUUAAGGAACUCGGCAAAAUGACCCCGUAACUUAGGGAUAAGGGGUGCCACCAUCAGGUGGCCGCAGAGAAUAGGCCCAAGCGACUGUUUACCAAAAACAUAGGUUUCUGCUAAGUCGCAAGACGAUGUAUAGGAGCUGACGCCUGCCCGGUGCUGGAAGGUUAAGGGGAUCUGUUAGAGCAAUCGAAGCAGUGAACUUAAGCCCCAGUAAACGGCGGCCGUAACUAUAACGGUCCUAAGGUAGCGAAAUUCCUUGUCGGGUAAGUUCCGACCCGCACGAAAGGCGUAACGAUUUGGGCACUGUCUCAACAACAGACUCGGUGAAAUUGUAAUUCCGGUGAAGAUGCCGGAUACCUGCGACAGGACGGAAAGACCCCAUGGAGCUUUACUGUAGCUUGACAUUGGGUCUUGGUACUACAUGUACAGGAUAGGUGGGAGGCUUUGAAACCAGGACGCCAGUUUUGGCGGAGCCAUCCUUGGGAUACCACCCUUGUAGUACUGGGACUCUAACCAUAGGCCAUGAAUCUGGUCUUGGGACACUGUCAGGUGGGCAGUUUGACUGGGGCGGUCGCCUCCCAAAAGGUAACGGAGGCGCUCAAAGGUUCUCUCAGUACGGUCGGAAAUCGUACGUAGAGUGUAAAGGCAAAAGAGAGCUUGAUUGCAAGACAUACAGGUCGAGCAAGGAUGAAAAUCGGACUUAGUGAUCCGGUGGUUCUGCGUGGAAGGGCCAUCGCUCAACGGAUAAAAGCUACCCUGGGGAUAACAGGCUUAUCUCCCCCAAGAGUCCACAUCGACGGGGAGGUUUGGCACCUCGAUGUCGGCUCAUCACAUCCUGGGGCUGUAGUAGGUCCCAAGGGUUGGGCUGUUCGCCCAUUAAAGUGGUACGCGAGCUGGGUUCAGAACGUCGUGAGACAGUUCGGUCCCUAUCCGUCGCAGGCGUAGGAAAUUUGAGAAGACCUGUCCUUAGUACGAGAGGACCGGGAUGGACG
This 1219-nucleotide ribosomal RNA is filed under the name Clostridioides difficile. RNAcentral describes it as "partial 23S ribosomal RNA". It matches the Rfam family "Bacterial large subunit ribosomal RNA", at positions 1475 to 2703 of the family's 2925-position model. Lineage: Bacteria; Bacillati; Bacillota; Clostridia; Peptostreptococcales; Peptostreptococcaceae. The record is from RNAcentral.